Parelaphostrongylus tenuis is the source of this 73-nucleotide non-coding RNA. NCBI's taxonomy places the organism in Eukaryota, Metazoa, Nematoda, Chromadorea, Rhabditida, Metastrongylidae. The record is from the annotation of a GenBank genome assembly.
GUGUCGAUGGUGCAACGCUUUAGCACAUGCUCCCGGAAAGAGUACAGUCCGGGUUCGAAUCCCAGCUGGCGCA